This 440-nucleotide ribosomal RNA is filed under the name uncultured bacterium. Its description in RNAcentral is "partial 16S ribosomal RNA". It matches the Rfam family "Bacterial small subunit ribosomal RNA", at positions 338 to 795 of the family's 1533-position model. The record is from RNAcentral.
CCUACGGGAGGCAGCAGUGGGGAAUAUUGCACAAUGGGGGAAACCCUGAUGCAGCGACGCCGCGUGAGUGAUGAAGUACUUCGUUAUGUAAAGCUCUAUCAGCAGGGAAGAAAAUGCCGGUACCUGAGUAAGAAGCCACGGCUAACUACGUGCCAGCAGCCGCGGUCAUACGUCGGGGGCAAGCGUUCUCCGGAUGUACGGGGUGUAAAGGGAGCGUAGACGGCAGUGCAAGUCUGGAGUGAAAGGCGGGGGGUCAACCCCCGGACUGCUCUGGAAACUGUACGGCUGGAGUGCAGGAGAGGUAAGUGGAAUUCCUAGUGUAGCGGUGAAAUGCGUAGAUAUUAGGAGGAACACCAGUGGCGAAGGCGGCUUACUGGACUGUAACUGACGUUGAGGCUCGAAAGCGUGGGGAGCAAACAGGAUUAGAUACCCGGGUAGUC